This 275-nucleotide ribosomal RNA is filed under the name uncultured Hyphomicrobium sp. RNAcentral describes it as "partial 16S ribosomal RNA". It matches the Rfam family "Bacterial small subunit ribosomal RNA", at positions 29 to 334 of the family's 1533-position model. The record is from RNAcentral. Lineage: Bacteria; Pseudomonadati; Pseudomonadota; Alphaproteobacteria; Hyphomicrobiales; Hyphomicrobiaceae.
AACGAACGCUGGCGGCAGGCCUAACACAUGCAAGUCGAACGCCCCGCAAGGGGAGUGGCAGACGGGUGAGUAACACGUGGGAACCUUCCCUAUAGUACGGAAUAGCCCAGGGAAACUUGGAGUAAUACCGUAUACGCCCGAAAGGGGAAAGAAUUUCGCUAUAGGAUGGGCCCGCGUAGGAUUAGCUAGUUGGUGAGGUAAUGGCUCACCAAGGCGACGAUCCUUAGCUGGUUUGAGAGAACGACCAGCCACACUGGGACUGAGACACGGCCCAG